UGGGGAAUUUUGGACAAUGGGGGAAACCCUGAUCCAGCCAUCCCGCGUGUGCGAUGAAGGCCUUCGGGUUGUAAAGCACUUUUGGCAGGAAAGAAACGUCAUGGGUUAAUACCCCGUGAAACUGACGGUACCUGCAGAAUAAGCACCGGCUAACUACGUGCCAGCAGCCGCGGUAAUACGUAGGGUGCAAGCGUUAAUCGGAAUUACUGGGCGUAAAGCGUGCGCAGGCGGUUCGGAAAGAAAGAUGUGAAAUCCCAGAGCUCAACUUUGGAACUGCAUUUUUAACUACCGGGCUAGAGUGUGUCAGAGGGAGGUGGAAUUCCGCGUGUAGCAGUGAAAUGCGUAGAUAUGCGGAGGAACAACGAUGGCGAAGGCAGCCUCCUGGGAUAACACUGACGCUAAUGCACGAAAGCGUGGGGAGCAAACAGG
RNAcentral lists this ribosomal RNA (429 nucleotides) under Acidobacteriota bacterium. RNAcentral describes it as "Acidobacteria bacterium partial 16S ribosomal RNA". It matches the Rfam family "Bacterial small subunit ribosomal RNA", at positions 355 to 776 of the family's 1533-position model. Lineage: Bacteria; Pseudomonadati; Acidobacteriota. The record is from RNAcentral.